CCCUGACAGAGACCAGAGGCGAUCAGAGAAAUUACUCUCUUGAAGGGGGAGAUCUACCCUGGAAUCUGGCAAACCCAGAGCUGGCCAUGUAUCUAGCCUUGUCCACCUGGAUACACACAGCGUUGCUAUGCAACAUCAUGGGGUUCCUGUGGACCCACACCCCAAUGCGUGUGAUGUCAUACAUGCUCCUCCCCUUCACUCUGCUACUCAGCUUCCUCCUUGGAAAUGUGCAUAGGCUGGUUGUAUUAGGGUUCUGGAUGUGGCAGGACCUACGACAGAUCACCUUCUUUAUCAUCAACACCCUGGUCUCCAGCUUCCACAUAAACCUAGAAGACAG
Long non-coding RNA from Oncorhynchus keta (chum salmon), 337 nucleotides. RefSeq lists it as uncharacterized. The transcript is spliced from 3 exons. NCBI's taxonomy places the organism in Eukaryota, Metazoa, Chordata, Actinopteri, Salmoniformes, Salmonidae. The record is from RefSeq and is a predicted model, not a curated record.